GAUACUGGCUCAGGAUGAACGCUAGCUACAGGCUUAACACAUGCAAGUCGAGGGGCAGCAUGGUCUUAGCUUGCUAAGGCCGAUGGCGACCGGCGCACGGGUAAGUAACACGUAUCCAACCUGCCGUCUACUCUUGGACAGCCUUCUGAAAGGAAGAUUAAUACAAGAUGGCAUCAUGAGUCCGCAUGUUCACAUGAUUAAAGAUAUUCCGGUAGACGAUGGGG
This 224-nucleotide ribosomal RNA is filed under the name uncultured bacterium. Its description in RNAcentral is "partial 16S ribosomal RNA". It matches the Rfam family "Bacterial small subunit ribosomal RNA", at positions 15 to 230 of the family's 1533-position model. The record is from RNAcentral.